Molecule: non-coding RNA, 28 nt
Filed under: Mus musculus (house mouse)
Lineage: Eukaryota; Metazoa; Chordata; Mammalia; Rodentia; Muridae
Source: RNAcentral
UGAAAUAUUUGAGCUCCCAUUGUUAUCC